AAUUCCCUUUUCUUCUCUUACACGUCGGUUCCAAGGGACAAGAAAGCAAUUUCCCUUCUUCCUCUUGCACCCACCGAUAGCUAGAACAAGGAAAGGAAGAAAAUACUUCCAGCCCUCACCGUGCAACAAACCUUUCUCUCCCAUUCCAUUUCUAUCUCAAUCUCAAGCCAAGCUUCCAAGUUUCUUCCUUCUCAAGAGGGAAAUAGUAAGCCAAAGGUUUCGUAUAUCCUCUGUUUUCCUAAGCCGAAUCUAUCUCCAUUCUCCUCAUUUUCAUGUUUCGGAAGGUUUUCACCAAAGGAGUUUAUUUUCAAGAUUCAAGGAACUUACUUGUAAAGCCACGAGGUAAUGAUGAAAAGGCUGGGGAGCAAGGUAUUACUGCAGAGGGAGAGGCAGACGUUUAGGACCUUCCCUAACGAGGAUAGUUAUGUUACGAAUGAUGGGUUAUGUUAUGUAUAGAUAUUUUAAGUUGGGAUGGACUCUGAGAGUCUCUUAUAGAUGAAUGUUCGAAUAGAACGUCCAUUAAGUGUUCCCUUUUAUUAAACGAAAAAUUUGGAGUGCA
Long non-coding RNA from Juglans regia (Persian walnut), 559 nucleotides. RefSeq lists it as uncharacterized. The transcript is spliced from 4 exons. The record is from RefSeq and is a predicted model, not a curated record. NCBI's taxonomy places the organism in Eukaryota, Viridiplantae, Streptophyta, Magnoliopsida, Fagales, Juglandaceae.